Molecule: long non-coding RNA, 7079 nt
Organism: Lathyrus oleraceus (garden pea)
Lineage: Eukaryota; Viridiplantae; Streptophyta; Magnoliopsida; Fabales; Fabaceae
Exons: 2
Source: RefSeq, a predicted model, not a curated record
UUAAAAUACUAAUUCAUGUGAAUGAGAUGGUAUGAUGUGACAUAGAGAUCAUGAUGAACACACAUAUACCCAAUUAAAUUGAGAUGAAAUUUUCAAUUUAGCCAUUAGCCACAAACAAAAUAUAGCCAAGUCAAAAUGAGAUUAAUUAUGUACAUGGAAUUUAACAUGAUAAAUCAAAUGAAAUCUUAAACAUAACAAGGUUAAUCACAUGGAAAUUAAUUCUGGAAAAUUAAAAAAUGAAAUCUAAUAUCUAAAAGUGAUUAAGCCUAAUUUCUAACUAACUUAUCUCCAAGAUUAUGUUAAAUCCUAAUAAAAAACUAAAAAUUAAUUCUAAUAUUUCUAUCAAGAUUGACAAACAACGUCAGAAUUAAUCAAAGAAAAACAAGAUUAAUAAACUCUAAUCAUGGAUUAGCAAAAAUUAAGAAGAAAACUAUUAACAUGGGCUUAACAGUUAACUGGAGGGACAUGGUGAUGUUUCAGCAAGAAUGAACUAAGUCCCAACCCCAGGCCCAAUCGAAAUCCAGCAUGAUAAACAAGUGGUGAAGAUAGAAUUGUCCAUGAAUCAUGUUACUGUAAGUAACAAUACAUGGCAACAGUGAUGUGGAUUCUCGAAUCAUGGCGGUAACGUCAUUUUCAUGUUAAGCUUCAUGAGAAACCUAUGAAACUAUUACUAAUGAUGGACAUUGAAGAAAAUACGCGGCAUCAGGUGCCACCGCGUCCUCUUCCUCUCACGAACUCAGUUCGUUCACCUCUGGUUACACGCUCCGUCGGACCGGUGGCGGUCCUCGGCGGCGAUGACGGAUUAAACUUAAAGGCAUCCUAACGUGCUACUCGAUCCUAAUCCUUCCUGAAUGUCUCGAAUUGGCAAUAGCUAUUUAGGAAUCCUAACCUAAAAACCUACGUUCGCCACCACUCUCCUAGAAUCGGAGCCCGAGGGAUCAGAGCUCCGAUCUGCCUACAUCUUUUCCAUGUCACGGCAACAACAAACUGAAAGAAAAAAGAAUUCUAAACUCACCUUGCCGGAGACGAUGAUUGCGAUGGUGAAAUCUCUACUUCCAGGUAGUGACUAUAUGUUUCCUUCUUCUUUAUGAAUGCGAAGUGAUCUUCUUCUUCUCCAACUUCUAGUCUGUAGGAAUGGCUUCUUCUUGAGAUUCGUUUGUGAUCCGUUGCAACCGGGAGGGUGAGGAAGGUUGAAGCUCAACUGGUUAGAGCUUCUGAUGCUGAAGCUCUAAUAGUUACGGUAAUUGAGAGCGUAUAGUGAGGAAUUGGGAUAGAGCGGAGGGAAUCACGUGUGACUAAGAGUGAUGAAGAUGAGAGAAUGAAAAUAAUCCAAUAUCCCCCUGUGAAUGAGGAUGGGAGACGAAUUUAUAGAGAGGGAAGGGUGUAACAGGAUUGGGCAGAUCGGGUAGCACCGUUAGGGUAGUGGUUGGUGAAUUUGGAGAGGAAAGUGGUUAAACAGUUAACUUUGUUAGCUCCUCCGUUAGAUUGAAUUUGGUUAGUGAGUUGUUUGAAAAGAAGGUUAGUUAGUGGCAAAAAUCAGCUGGUGGAAACUCGAAUGUUAGCUAUGUUAAAAUGGGAAGUAGAGUUAAGUGAAAAUGCAAUGGCAAUUGAGUUAGUAAUUUCUGCAAAAUGGUUUUUCAUUCUCUGCAUUACAUUUCUAUUAUCAUGGUCUUCAAAUUAUUCGGUGUUAAUCGAAAGUGCGUGGGAAUGUUCGAAGGACUGAUUUGGUGUUCUUUUGUCCCAUUGCAGGUUCGCCGUUAUGGUCGCCAGAAAGUUUUGUUGAACGUUUUGGCCUACAACAAGGCAAUGUUUGUGGUUUACACAGGGUUGAUGCUGCUUCUGCUGACAGGCUUUAAUAUCACGCAAGCUGGUACCACGUAUAUCUCCGUCGUUACCGUAAGCAAUAUCACACUCACUCAUCUUCUUGGAGUUGUUGCAUUCGUCCGGAGUCGGCCAACUCUAUGGAUAGAUCCGACGAAUUUUUCAGAGACAUUUCAAGAUUAAUAUGCAGCUCAACUAAUCCAGCAGGAAGAGCUUUGAUCCUCGUCAUUGUGGUAUCAAAUUUGUUAUGUAGUUCUACAUUCUUGCUAGAACUAUUCCGUAGUUAUACACGGCAGUUAGCAAGUUCGUCGUUAUGCCACGGCGGUUAGCAGGUUCUUCAUUACACCGUUGAUUGUUCUGGUUACCUUCAUUGCGUGAAUCACGGAGCUAUGAUAGUUCACCAAUCAACUAGUGACGGUGAUAAUCAAGUUCCAAUUGGAGGUCCAUUUGUUCAGCUAGCUGCACACUGAAUAUGUUUGGCAUCAUAUGAGCAAGAAACAACUCUUCUUUCAGUCUCUGAAGCACUUCUAAAAAUUCAUGGUUUGGCAGAAAUGGAUUUGUAUAAAAAAUGGUUCUCUGGCCUUGAGUAAAAACCGAUACUCCUCUUCAUUAAGCCUUCUUAUCAAUUCGGCUACUUGCAAAAGAUUAACCGAGCUCGUAUCAGAAAUAGGAGAGAGAUCAAAGAAUCUGGUGGAAGCUCUGGUUGAUAACUCGUGAGUGGAAUCAUCAGUUGUAGAUACGAUAAGAGUACAUUACUGGCCUUUAUCGGAUCCUGAAUGCUUGUCUGACACAAUAUCAAGAGAGGAGAAUAAUUCCAUUGGCCUAUCUAAUUGCUCCGCUUCGUGAGAUGCCUCCUUGAUUGUAGUAUUCUCCGUAGUAAUUCCUGGAAGAGACUGAUCACCCUCAUUGGCUUCGAUCAACGGAAUAUCCUUUUGGUCAUCUAUAAUUGCAUCAGUUCUUCGACAAGAUUUCGCCAUAUCCAACUCAUCAGCUUCCUGACCUUCUCUUGUUCGCAUCACAUGUGUACGGGAAACAUCUUCAGAUAAAGACAACAAUCUUUCCUUUUCUUUUUCCACUCUCUUUUUCAGUUGUGGUAGACUCAUCCACUGUAGUUAUAAUAGAAGCAUGCGGGGACAAAAGAUCAACAGGUUUGGAUGCAAGAUCGGGUGUUAUUACUCUUUCACUAUUUGAAGUUCUCAAAGAAACAUCUUCUACUACAUCAGCGCCAACCUUCAGAGAGUUUACACCUUGAUCUUGGGCUGACAAUUCAUAAUCAUUCUCAUGGACUCCAUGACCCUUAAGUGCUAAGUUAUCAUCCCAUUCAGUUUUGUAGCUAUCGCAGGUGGCGUGUGUUUGGUCGCUGUUUCGAGCCGCGACUUGUUGAUGGUAGUUACCACUGCUAGGUACUUUUGUCUCACACCCUGCACUUUAUUAAAUUAGCUAAAAAUGGUUAUGUGAGAAAAUGGAUUAUGGGCUAGAUGCAUUAAUUGGAUGACAUGAAUGGAUUAACAUGUGGAUAAUGGUGAUUUUAAAUGGAUUGGUCUGGUACUUAUUGCACAGCGGGUACAGUAAGAUAAGAAAUUUGGCUCAUGGUGCAGCAGAAUCAUGGGUAAUUGGAUGCUAACUGUUGCAAGAUUUUGGAUAAGCAUGAUAUGAAUUCUGACUUGCUUCACGUCUUGCAUAGUAUCUUGCACUGGCUGCUGAUUGAUUGCCGGUUUAUGCAUGGUUAUAUGAAUGGCUGCAGGUCUGUAUAGACUGCAGCAUUUCAUCAAUACCUUUUCAACGCAGGAACGCCACAAAGGUCGGGAUUGUCUGCAUACUAAGUGGUUGAAAGUGUGUUAAGCUGUCGUGAUUAUUAUUCUUGAGACGGAAACAAAUUCGUUGCACCUUGCCUUUAAUUGAUGCCUCAUCUAUACAGGUUUCUACCAUGCUUAACCGGUUUAUGCGGAAUGCCAUUGGCUUAACAACUGACUGCCACGCCGGUAAAUAUCGCGAACAGACUUCAGCAAAAGCGGUUUUAGCCAUCAAUGUAGCCAGUAUAAUGAAUUGGGAUGAAAAGGAUUCUCGAGCUGAGCCGCUAUAUAUUUGGCGAAUUGUUGCAUGUAUUGAUUUGAAGUUCGAUUCAGUUGAAUGAGCCAGGAAUUGGUUGCAAAGCGGUUGCUGAUGGAAUGUUAGGCAAGAAUGGUCCUGCUGUGUCGUUGUUACAAAUUCCAGAAUUUUGGAAUUCUGUCAUAUCUUCUUUUCUCUUUGUUUCGGUUAGGGGAGUUCCUUGUUGUUACCAAUGGAAUCAAAUCUUGAAAAUUUCUCGUGACUAUUGCCAAAAUUGUCACCAAAAUCCCUGCUGCUUGAUGUAUCAAAAUGCUCCCUUCAGGGUAUGCGAACCUGUGAGCCUCUGAGGCAACAUUAACAUUUUUUUUUUACUUCCUUUCGCAAGUUGGUUUACUUUGCUUUAUGGUGAAGGGUUCUACUUUUCAGAACUUCCAAUGGAACUCAGGAGAUCAUCAGCGGAUGGGAUGGGAUCAUGAUGGCUUACACUGAUACCGCCAGUAUCACAUGAGCUGCAGUCGAGGUAUAAAACAUGGAUGGGAACGUCCGAUGGAUCUGAAAAAGCAGUAAUGUGUACAUGGUCUCUCUCUUCGCCCCUUGGUUCAACAACAGAUUUGCAAAGCUGCUCAACUGUUGUGUUGGUCAGGCUUAUUACGAAAGGUUCGAAAAGAUUCAUAGCGGUUUUGUAUCGUAACGGACGUAACAAAUCUGAAGAGCAUAACAACAUAAUUAGAUAAGGAAUGAUUUGGGAUCCUAUGCGCAAGCUCUUCAUGACUUAUGGAAGUCUUUUUCCCUUGAAUCACAUUUUCCUGUGGUUGCACUUUUUAAUGAUGAACAUUCAGAUUUCACAGCAUUGAGUGGCGGCUCACUGUCUUGAUAACUACGACAGUUAUUAGAACCUUUGGUAUCACAAAAUGGAGGGCUGUCUGGUGCAGAUUUAGUCACUUGAUCCAAAUCCAUUUCUACACGAUCCCCAAUUUCUUUUUGAGAACAUCUCAUUGAAUUACUUUUCUCCAUAAUGCACUUAGUAUCCCCAACCUCAUUUGACAUACACGAGUUCAGCAGAACCUUGUCAGUUUCUUAUAACUACAAGUUGAAUUGUUAAGAGUUUGGCAAUGCUCCAAAACCAUCCUAUCAUCAAAAGAACGUUGCAGGAAUACAUUAGCACAAAAGGUCACAUCCGAGUUCUUAUAAAUAGUCACCAUGUUUUCCACAAAUGGCACAUGCCUUAAAUCUAUUUGAGCUGUUUGGUGUUACAGAGAGCACACUCAGAAUCAAUCGUUGAACUAUCUGACAUGCAGGAACUGCAGGACAAGUGGUUGGAAGGAAGCAAAACCGGUUGCUUGAACAAGCUCAAGCAGAGAGGGCAUCUGAGUUCGAGAGCGAGUUUCUGAAAGUGAAGCAUCCAUGGAUUCAAUAGUUUGCUACUUCCUCUGUUCCUUUUUAAGUGUCCAUUUCUUGUAAAAAAAUCGUUUCUUUUUAAUUGUCACUUGCAAAGUUCAAGGUAGUAUUAAUUGCAGUUUUGUCAAAAUUACCCCUAGGUAAUUAUUAUAGAGAGAGAAAAAGUAAAAUGAAUGUAAUAAAUAAUUAGGGGCAUUAUAGGUAAAACAAGAAUUAUUGUUUGAAAAGUAACAAUAAUGAUUAGCUUCCUUGAUAUGUGUAUAAAGUCAAAAAAUGACACUUAAAAAGGAACGAAGGGAGUACUACUUUUACUCGCGAUGUUGUUGGUGGGUUUUCCAGAAUCCUCCAUUUUUCUUUCUUCUGAUUUUGGUGAAGCUAAGUCCUUAGCAGUGAGUGAAGCGAAAAGAGGUUUCCUUGGUUUUGAAGUAGGUUAGAGAGCAGCUAGGUUCUUCAUUACCUAGCAAACUAAUUCCUUCAAACUCAGAUAUUCCAUGCUCGGAGAAUUCAUUCGCGGAAGGGCCUUCUAGUUUUAGCAACCGUCUUCUACGCCUAACAUGGAGAGGAUGAUCUUGAAAUGCAGCCAACGAUGGUAAAUCAUUCAUGUCAAAGACCAUCACCAAAGCAGUCAUUUGAUCAAACCUGGGAAUAUUCUCGACAGAAAGCCCACCAUGAAGAUGAGCCGUCCAAACAACAAUAUGAACAAUAUGGUAUUCAUUGUUAACAGUCCUCUCAUGGACAUUUACCUCAGAAGCCAAGUCAAAUGCAUCUUCAAAACCAACAGAUGGCAAUCGGAAAAAGAAAGGUGAAUUCGCCGAUGGUGGAGGAUAUGAUGAUGAAGAUUCUGGGUCAAUUUCGAGAGAAACCGGAUUCGUUUGUAAUUCAGUAACAUCCAUGUGUAUGUGUAGCAGUUAGAAAGUUAGUGUGAGCUCAAUUACUCAAACCGUCAGAGAUUGUGAUUUUGUUCUUCUGCUACCGAUUCUUGGAGUUGUCUUGGGUUAAUGGUAGUGAGCCAUUUGAAACAUGGGCCAUGAAGUGUUUAUUAUGCGUAUAUUUGAUAGAAUGUUUCGCAUUAAAAGCUGGCGAGUUAUUGGAAUUGUUUUUUGCUGGGCCCAUGAGAAACUGCAGCUCCAACAUCAUGAUUUAUCCUAAAUUCUGCUGCAGUGUUAGAAGAAUCCCAUGCUAGAUUGUGUUAUUCUGCAACAUCUGUCAAGACCUUGAGUUUUACUUCUCCAUAUGGAGUCUUAAAUGAAAGCUUAUCAAUUAUUGUGCGGUUCACGCCUGAAUCUGGACGGAGUUCAGAUACUGCAGUGACAAAUCCUUUCCCAUAUUUAGUGGUAAGCAAGUUUUUUAUGUGCAGUAAUUCUGGCAUAUCAAAACAUCUAGGAGCAGCAAAAAUUACACUUGCGAUGGCUUGCGGCAUAUGGCAUCAUGGUUCUUGACUGGUAUAGCUGGUUUGUAGGAGUGUGAUGCUUUUUGCUUUGCUGCAUUUGGCAUGAUUUGGUAGCACAUGGUCAUGUUCACAUGAAGUGGAUUAUUGUACAGGGCUUGCAAAAUCAAUGACGUCAAGUUGAAAUUUGAAGUAUCAAUGACUAAUGGCAAAGAUCAAGUAGGAAAUUUGGAAGAUUAGGAAUAGGAUUUAGGACUUUGGUUGUAAAAUGGUUAAGUUGACUUUGGUCAAAGUUGACCAAAAAGUCAAUUGUUGACCAAAGUCAACAAUUUGGUCAAAGUUCAUUUUUAGUAUUUUUCUCAUGAAAUGGACAAUGUAAUGGACUAAAAAUUGUUAUUUGAAUGAGUUUGAAUGGUUGACUUGA